This 399-nucleotide ribosomal RNA is filed under the name uncultured bacterium. RNAcentral describes it as "bacterial SSU rRNA". It matches the Rfam family "Bacterial small subunit ribosomal RNA", at positions 28 to 430 of the family's 1533-position model. The record is from RNAcentral.
GACGAACGCUGGCGGCGUGCUUAACACAUGCAAGUCGAGCGGUAAGGCCCUUUCGGGGGUACACGAGCGGCGAACGGGUGAGUAACACGUGGGUGACCUGCCCUCAGCUCUGGGAUAAGCCCGGGAAACUGGGUCUAAUACCGGAUAUGACUCCAUGACGCAUGUUGUGGGGUGGAAAGCCUUGUGCGGCUGAGGAUGGGCCCGCGGCCUAUCAGCUUGUUGGUGGGGUGAUGGCCACCAAGGCGACGACGGGUAGCCGGCCUGAGAGGGCGACCGGCCACACUGGGGCUGAGAUACGGCCCAGACUCCUACGGGAGGCAGCAGUGGGGAAUUUUCCGCAAUGGGCGCAAGCCUGACGGAGCGACGCCGCGUGUGGGAAGAAGGCCUUCGGUCGUAACC